GCAUUGGUUUUUCAGUGGUAGAGUUCUCGCCCACUACGCGGGACGCCAGGGUUCGAUUCCUGGUCGGUCCA
Caranx melampygus (bluefin trevally) is the source of this 71-nucleotide non-coding RNA. The record is from the annotation of a GenBank genome assembly. Lineage: Eukaryota; Metazoa; Chordata; Actinopteri; Carangiformes; Carangidae.